AACGAACGCUGGCGGCGUGCCUAACACAUGCAAGUCGAACGAGACCUUCGGGCUUUUGGGCGCUCGGCGGCGUGCGGCGUGGGGAGUUGCCCUUGGGUUCGGUAUACCUCCCCGUGGGGGAUGCUAAGACCAGUUGGUGUCAUAGGGCCUAAGAUCUAUCGCCUCUGGAUGGGCGCGCGUUGGAUUAGCUGGUUGGUAGGGGAAUAGCCUACUAAGGGGACGAUCCAUAGCUGGUCAGGGAGAAUGACCAGCAACAGUGGGAGUGAGACACGGCCCAGACUCCUGCGGGAGGCGGCAGUGGUGAAUAAUGGACGGCGGGAGCAAGCCUGAGCCAGCAAUGCCGCGUGAGUGAUGAAGGCCGGAGGGUAGUAAAGCUCUUUUAUCAGGGAUGGUAAUGACAGUACCGGGAGAAUAAGCUCCGGCUAACUCCGUG
This 433-nucleotide ribosomal RNA is filed under the name uncultured bacterium. RNAcentral describes it as "partial 16S ribosomal RNA". It matches the Rfam family "Bacterial small subunit ribosomal RNA", at positions 28 to 507 of the family's 1533-position model. The record is from RNAcentral.